UUCUAUGGCCAUGCCGCCCUGAGCAAGGCUGAUCCCGUUUGAUCUCAGAAGCUAAGCGGGGUCGGGCCUGGUUAAUAGUUGGAUGGGAGACCACCUAGGAAGACCAGGUGCUGUGGGCG
RNAcentral lists this ribosomal RNA (119 nucleotides) under Pteropus alecto (black flying fox). Lineage: Eukaryota; Metazoa; Chordata; Mammalia; Chiroptera; Pteropodidae. The record is from RNAcentral.